Molecule: ribosomal RNA, 406 nt
Filed under: uncultured bacterium
Lineage: Bacteria
Description: partial 16S ribosomal RNA
Rfam family: Bacterial small subunit ribosomal RNA
Source: RNAcentral
AUUGAACGCUGGCGGCAGGCCUAACACAUGCAAGUCGAACGAGUGGCGGACGGGUGAGUAAUGUCUGGGAAACUGCCCGAUGGAGGGGGAUAACUACUGUAAACGGUAGCUAAUACCGCAUACCAUCGGAUGUGCCCAGAGGGGAUUAGCUAGUAGGUGGGGUAAAGGCUCACCUAGGCGACGAUCCCUAGCUGGUCUGAGAGGAUGACCAGCCACACUGGGACUGAGACACGGUCCAGACUCCUACGGGAGGCAGCAGUAGGGAAUCUUGGACAAUGGGCGCAAGCCUGAUGCAGCCAUGCCGCGUGUGUGAAGAAGGCCUUCGGAUUGUAAAGUACUUUCGUCGGGGAAGCGGUACCCGCCGAGGAAGCACCGGCUAACUCCGUGCCAGCAGCCGCGGUAAUUC